AUUGAACGCUGGCGGCAGGCCUAACACAUGCAAGUCGGACGGUAGCACAGAGGAGCUUGCUCCUUGGGUGACGAGUGGCGGACGGGUGAGUAAUGUCUGGGGAUCUGCCCGAUAGAGGGGGAUAACCACUGGAAACGGUGGCUAAUACCGCAUAACGUCGCAAGACCAAAGAGGGGGACCUUCGGGCCUCUCACUAUCGGAUGAACCCAGAUGGGAUUAGCUAGUAGGCGGGGUAAUGGCCCACCUAGGCGACGAUCCCUAGCUGGUCUGAGAGGAUGACCAGCCACACUGGAACUGAGACACGGUCCAG
This 310-nucleotide ribosomal RNA is filed under the name uncultured bacterium. RNAcentral describes it as "bacterial SSU rRNA". It matches the Rfam family "Bacterial small subunit ribosomal RNA", at positions 30 to 334 of the family's 1533-position model. The record is from RNAcentral.